AUGGACCUUCCUGUCCCCAAUUCAGCAUCACCUAGCUCUCUCCUAAUGUGGGUUAAUUUUCCAUCAGCUCCUAGAAAGAGUGUAUUUCCAGACUCUCUGGGGACAGACAGAGGAGUUUCAAACAGGAUAAAGCAAGCUUCGAUGGAGAAUAUUUGGAGCCUGUCAUGGCAUCAGGCUGCUCCGACCACAUUUCUGCCAGAGGGGGGGAAAUGUGUUUGCUUGGAACAGGGUCACUGUGAAAAUCAAAUGAGAUUGCACAGGGAAAAAUCUCUUCAGACUGGAGCUCCAUGCAAUGGUCAUCAUCUGUUGAUGUUGCUCUCUGACAGAUUCUCACUCUGUUGCCAGGCUGGAGUGCAAUGGCGCGAUCUCAGCUCACUGUACCCUCUGCCUCCCAGGUUCAAGCGAUUCUCCUGCCUCAGCCUCCCACGUAGCUGUGACGACAGGCCCAGGAAGGAGGCCGGAGUAGUAUGGAUGGCAUCUGAGCUGGCAGGACGGGGUCUUGGUUUCUAA
This 510-nucleotide long non-coding RNA is filed under the name Callithrix jacchus (white-tufted-ear marmoset). RNAcentral describes it as "lncRNA (ENSCJAG00000072448.1)". The record is from RNAcentral. Lineage: Eukaryota; Metazoa; Chordata; Mammalia; Primates; Cebidae.